This 253-nucleotide ribosomal RNA is filed under the name uncultured bacterium. Its description in RNAcentral is "partial 16S ribosomal RNA". It matches the Rfam family "Bacterial small subunit ribosomal RNA", at positions 524 to 776 of the family's 1533-position model. The record is from RNAcentral.
UACAGAGGGUGCAAGCGUUAAUCGGAAUGACUGGGCGUAAAGGGCAUGUAGGUGGCUUUAUAAGUUAGAUGUGAAAUCCCCGGGCUUAACCUGGGAACUGCAUUUAAUACUGUGAAGCUAGAGGAUGGGAGAGGGCAGUGGAAUUUCCGGUGUAGCGGUGAAAUGCGUAGAUAUCGGAAGGAACACCAGUGGCGAAGGCGACUGCCUGGCCUGUAACUGACACUGAGAUGCGAAAGCGUGGGGAGCAAACAGG